Molecule: ribosomal RNA, 326 nt
Filed under: uncultured eukaryote
Lineage: Eukaryota
Description: partial 18S ribosomal RNA
Rfam family: Eukaryotic small subunit ribosomal RNA
Source: RNAcentral
CCCUUAGAUGUUCUGGGCCGCACGCGCGCUACACUGAUGCAUUCAACGAGCCUAGCCUUGACCGAGAGGUCCGGGUAAUCUUUGAAACUGCAUCGUGAUGGGGCUAGAUUAUUGCAAUUAUUAAUCUUCAACGAGGAAUGCCUAGUAAGCGUGAUUCAUCAAAUCGCGUUGAUUACGUCCCUGCCCUUUGUACACACCGCCCGUCGCUGCCCGGAACUGAGCCGUUUCGAGAAGACUGAGGAUUGCUGACUUGAGGCCUUCACGGGCUUCUAGUCGGUGAAAAUCAAUUUAAUCGCAGCGGCUUGAACCGGGCAAAAGUCGUAACA